CUUGUCGCCCGCUGGGUUGGAGUAACGGAGCUGGAGACGAAGAGACGCGGGGGAGAGACAGACAGAUGGCUUCAAUCGUCAAAUCUCCUUCUCCACCUCCUCCACCUCCUCCACCUCCGCUCAUCAAACAAGAGGCUGAUGAUGAUGAUGAUGAGGAGAGCCCAGAGUCUGGGAUGAGCCCUCACUUGGCGGUGAAACGUGAAGACGCCACCGCUGACGAUGACGACGACGACGACGAUGAAGGAGCGGCAGCGGCAAUCGCUGGAGGAAGCCCCGAGGUGCAUCAGCAGG
Long non-coding RNA from Lethenteron reissneri (Far Eastern brook lamprey), 291 nucleotides. RefSeq lists it as uncharacterized. The record is from RefSeq and is a predicted model, not a curated record. NCBI's taxonomy places the organism in Eukaryota, Metazoa, Chordata, Hyperoartia, Petromyzontiformes, Petromyzontidae.